This is a non-coding RNA of Lolium perenne, 1789 nucleotides long. NCBI's taxonomy places the organism in Eukaryota, Viridiplantae, Streptophyta, Magnoliopsida, Poales, Poaceae. The record is from RefSeq and is a predicted model, not a curated record.
UGCGCCGUGACAAAAGGAGCAUGCCGCUCCAGUCCUUCCAACGCACACCCUGUCCGUCACGGGCACUCACACUCAUCUCACUCACAAUCACUAGGCGCGCCAAAUUAGGAGCUCCAAGAAAGAGACCGUCCUGGCAGCAAUGGCUUGCCGGCGGCGGCGUGGCUGCAGGGAGGCGGUGCUGUGGGCGGCGCUGUGGCAGGCUCUGCUCCUGCCUUGGACGCUGGGCGCGAGCACGCCGGCGAAGGCUGCCGAGCCGGUGGUGGUGGCCGGGCCAGUGUCCAGGGUGGAGGACGCGAGGCUGUUCCACAUAUACUACGGCCAGGCAUUCAAGGUCAUCAAGAACACCUGGGACGGCAAGAGCUACCUUCUCAUGCAGAACACGUCCAAGAUGGCGACCAAGACCAAGUACUGCACGGGAAGGAUCAAGUCGUUCGUGAUCCCCAUCGCCAACUACUCCGUCGACACCACGGCUUCUCCAGUGUCAUUCUUUGAGCUACUUGGAGUGCUAGAUAACUUGAAAGGGAUAACAUCAGGUCAGGUUGCCUCCCAGUGCGUGCUCCAAGCAUAUGCAAGUGGAAAUGUGCAGCUUGUGAACAGGACAGACGCACAGAAGCUAUCACAGUUUAGCACACAUUUCAUCGGCAGCACAGAUGAAGAUAAAGGUUGCAAUUUUGCAGCUUAUGUACCAUCAGAAGAGGAUACACCGUUGCAGAGGGCUGAGUGGAUCAAGUACCUGGGGACAUUCACAAAUUCCGAAGAUAGGGCUAAUGCAGUAUAUGAUGCAAUUAAGACAAACUAUAUGUGCUUAAGCAAAGCAGCUGCGAACCUCAGUACCCGAUUCAAACCCAUAGUAGCAUGGAUUGAAUACGCAGAGGGAGUGUGGACAUUUGUCAAAGAAAGUUACAAGUUACAGUAUGUCACAGAUGCAGGCGCAGAAACUGUUGAUGCAACUAUUACCGAUAAGAGAUUCAACAUUUCCGAUCCAGAGGAUAUGGACAACCUACAUGCUAUUCUUUGUACAGUAGAUGUGGUCCUAGAUCAGACAUAUGCCUCAGAUCCGGCAGAGUACAAGCUAUCCACAUUUUUGGAUAAUAUUAAUGUGGGCCGUGACUCUUGUUUCAGUUUUAUUACUAACCAAAGUAUAUGGAGAUUUGACAAGAAAAUAGGGGGGUCAAAGACACUUGAUUGGUUUGAUGGAGCUAUCUCCCAGCCACAGUUGGUUCUGGCUGAUCUAAUAGAAGCUUUCUUCCAAACGGGAAACUACACAACAAUUUACUUCAGGAACCUUGCAAAGGAAGAAGGGGUCACAGAACUAGACCCUGCAAUGUGUAGUAGGAGCAUAUCCACACCAAUGGAGCCUACGAUCCUGCCCUGCAAUGAGGACCCUAGAUGAACAUUAAGGCAAUUGAAGCCACUGUGGUCGCAAAACAGUGGAAGUGUUGAACUAUUCUAAUCUUCUAGGAAUACCAUCACUUGAGAAUGACUAAACUAUUCUUGGCAGACAUACAAGGAGAAAUUGCAGGACAUUCGUGAACAGUAAAAUUAGCACCAGGGAUACCUUUUGUGGAGUAAAAGUAUGGAAGCAUGAAACAGGAACUGCAAGCGCAACUAUAAAUAUCUGCUACCAGAGGGGCACUUUUGUUAUAGCUUAUACUCCAUAGUCAGAACUCAGAAACUCUUAGCAUGGUCAGAUAAGAUUUAAGACAGCAGAUUACAGUACAUUUUGCCUCAUAUAUGUAUCACGCUACCACGGCUCCAAAGGAAAUAAGAUCAUCAUCCUUAUAAGCCA